Molecule: small nuclear RNA, 124 nt
Organism: Dipodomys spectabilis (banner-tailed kangaroo rat)
Lineage: Eukaryota; Metazoa; Chordata; Mammalia; Rodentia; Heteromyidae
Source: RefSeq, a predicted model, not a curated record
GUGUUGUCAGGCCCAAGGGCAUCUUCCAUCCUUGUCAAGGGGAGUGCUGACCUUCUCUCCUUUCAUACAAUGUAUAUGGUUAAGGCAUUGACACCUACUUCGUGGCAUCUAACCAUCGUUUUUU